Molecule: ribosomal RNA, 586 nt
Filed under: uncultured fungus
Lineage: Eukaryota; Fungi
Description: eukaryotic LSU rRNA
Rfam family: 5.8S ribosomal RNA (bases 237-390)
Source: RNAcentral
AUUUAGAGGAAGUAAAAGUCGUAACAAGGUUUCCGUAGGUGAACCUGCGGAAGGAUCAUUAAAAAAAGAGAAACGUCCCGUUUUUUUCAUAAGAAUGGGUUCUAUUCCCUUAAACCGUGUCUACAUACCUUUGUUGCUUUGGCAGGCCGCCUUCGGGCGUCGGCUCCGGCUGAUAGUGCCUGCCAGAGGACCCAAACUCUAUGUUUAGUGAUGUCUGAGUACUAUAUAAUAUUUAAAACUUUCAACAACGGAUCUCUUGGUUCUGGCAUCGAUGAAGAACGCAGCGAAAUGCGAUAAGUAAUGUGAAUUGCAGAAUUCAGUGAAUCAUCGAAUCUUUGAACGCACAUUGCGCCCCUUGGUAUUCCGAGGGGCAUGCCUGUUCGAGCGUCAUUAUAACCACUCAAGCCUGGCUUGGUAUUGGGGCUUUCGCGUGUUCGCGGCCCUUAAAAUCAGUGGCGGUGCCGUCUGGCUCUAAGCGUAGUAAUUUCUCUCGCUAUAGGGUUCCGGUGGUUACUUGCCAAAACCCCCCAUUUUUUCUAGGUUGACCUCGGAUCAGGUAGGGAUACCCGCUGAACUUAAGCAUAUC